CUACUGCCACAGCAAAGGAGGCACUACUAACAAGAAAGUGGCUUUCCCAAGGCGGGUCUGAUCUAUUGUACUCACGAGGUGCUGAUCCCUUGAAUUUCUUCAACUGUAGGAAAUUUAAAUGCACAUUUUGUGGAACUGGAGAACUGUCUUCAGAAUUUUUUUUU
Mastomys coucha (southern multimammate mouse) is the source of this 164-nucleotide small nuclear RNA. RefSeq annotates it as U1 spliceosomal RNA. The record is from RefSeq and is a predicted model, not a curated record. Lineage: Eukaryota; Metazoa; Chordata; Mammalia; Rodentia; Muridae. The transcript has a single exon.